This 443-nucleotide ribosomal RNA is filed under the name uncultured bacterium. Its description in RNAcentral is "bacterial SSU rRNA". It matches the Rfam family "Bacterial small subunit ribosomal RNA", at positions 354 to 796 of the family's 1533-position model. The record is from RNAcentral.
GUGGGGAAUAUUCCGCAAUGGGUGAAAGCCUGACGGAGCGACGCCGCGUGGAUGAUGAAGGUCUUCGGAUUGUAAAGUCCUGUAAAGAGGGAAGAUGGCCUCGUGUAGAACGGGGUUGACAGUACUUCUGGAGUAAGCUACGGCAAACUCUGUGCCAGCAGCCGCGGUAAUACAGAGGUAGCUAGCGUUGUUCGGAAUGACUGGGUGUAAAGCGCAUGUAGGCGGUUUUGUAAGUUGAAUGUGAAAUCCUUUGGCUUAACCAAAGAACUGCAUUCAAAACUGCUUAACUUGAGUGUGGGAGAGGAAAGCGGAAUUUCUGGUGUAGCGGUGAAAUGCGUAGAUAUCAGAAGGAACACCAGUGGCGAAGGCGGCUUUCUGGCCCGCAACUGACGCUGAGAUGCGAAAGCUAGGGGAGCAAACAGGAUUAGAAACCCCGGUAGUCC